GCCUUAGCUCAGCUGGGAGAGCACCUGCUUUGCAAGCAGGGGGUCAUCGGUUCGAUCCCGAUAGGCUCCACCA
RNAcentral lists this transfer RNA (73 nucleotides) under uncultured Alphaproteobacteria bacterium. RNAcentral's name for it is "tRNA-Ala". It matches the Rfam family "tRNA". Rfam says of the family: Transfer RNA (tRNA) molecules are approximately 80 nucleotides in length. Their secondary structure includes four short double-helical elements and three loops (D, anti-codon, and T loops). The record is from RNAcentral. Lineage: Bacteria; Pseudomonadati; Pseudomonadota; Alphaproteobacteria.